Long non-coding RNA from Pezoporus flaviventris, 2451 nucleotides. RefSeq lists it as uncharacterized. The transcript has 3 exons. Lineage: Eukaryota; Metazoa; Chordata; Aves; Psittaciformes; Psittacidae. The record is from RefSeq and is a predicted model, not a curated record.
UUAGGCAAAUUAGCAUGUAAUAUGUGCGGGAAGUGGUAAAAUUUAUUUCCACAGAAGUCCCACUUCUUAAAAUGCAUUUUUUUGUUUGCCAUUGUACACAGUGUGUUGGUUUAAGAGAAGUAUUUAAGUCAAAGAAAACACGAUGCAGAAGGUUCAGGGUGCCAUUUGAUAAACAAUGGGCUGCAAGCUGUCAAAAAAAAACCCUAAAGUGGCAAAUCUGGCACAUGCUGAAUCCAUUCCUUUCUGUGCAGGAAGAAAAAUAACAAUCUAUUUCACAUCCAGCCAAACUCUUUCACAAUCUGCAUUGCUCAAAGCUGGAGUCAUAGCCAGCAGCAGCAGGGAUGUCCGUCUGUUGUGGCACUCUUUGCAAGCAAAGCCGCCGGUUCCUCAAUGACAGUAAACCCCGGGGAAUCACAGGGUAUGUACUCCUGUGCUAUGAUUAGGAUCUGUCUCCUCAAAUUCCAUCCUUGAGGUCUCUGCAGGAGGGGGCUUUUUGCUUUGUGUCCUGGCCUGCUUCAGUUCACAAAGGAUGGAUGGAUGAACACUGUAUUGACAAAAUACAUUGAAGAUAGGGUUUCAUUUCCCAUGGCUGGAGAGGAUGUGGGGAAGUUUAUUGCGAGUAAAAGAAACAAGUGGCUGAAGAACCGGUAGCAGGAGGCAAUAAUUAAUGGAAAAUGCCAUGUGCAGGGCAGGGUGGGCAGAAAAAUUCAGUGGGAGGUGGAAGAGGGAGAGGGGAGAUGCUACUUGGAAGGGUCUUGUGAAAAUCCCUGUGUGGCACAGGGGCUGGUGGCCAUUGUGGAGCAUCCAUGAGGCAUUGGGAGGAUCACUCACUGGUGGAGCCAGGUGCCAGCAAGUGUUCGGGGUGGUGUGUUAAGAAAAAUACCUGAGUUCCAGCAACAGCAGGAGGCCUGACUGUAAUGAGCUUAAUGAAUGUGACGCAAGGGAUGUUUCAGGUAGAAGGAGAAAUGUGUGAUUUCUUGUAUGUGUAAUUAGGACACUUGGCAGCUGGGUAAGCUUUAAUUGCCAUUCAAAGCUCCCAGUCUUGCCAAAGAAUGAAGAGAGUGAAGAGAGCUAUUGAUUUCCAUCUGGGCAAACAAUUUACUUCUUAGUGCUCAUCAGCCUGAUGUGUAUCUUCAUUCCCUGUCACUGCUGUGUGCGAGCUAAAGCUGCUUUCAUCGGCAGAUUUCAGGUGGGGGCUCAGUUGAAUAUGUGGCUAGAAUUGCAAGGCAUUAAUAGUAGAAACUGCCUCAUUUACCACACUGGCAGUGCACAGUGUGCUCAGAGUCUUGGAAAAUCUCCACAUUUCUAGAUCUUUAUAUAGAGCGUCUCUCUGCUGUAGAGUCCAGUUGCUUCCCAAAAAUAAAAUGGGCACAGAAGGAUCCUUCUUCUUCCUCUACUAAAUGGGAGCAAGGCAAUGUUUGUUUUAUAUGAUGCAUGUUUGUCUAUAAAUGUAGCGUUACUGAGCAGAGAAGUGGAUUUUGCAUUUCACUUUGAAGACACAGAUGUCCAUAAUCAAUAUGAUCUCUUUUGGGGGCAGCUUCCAAAUUUCGUGGGCUAAAUGCCACAUUUUUGCCCUGUUGUUGGCAGUUUCAUUGUUUCAGAGGCAUACAGCUAGUGCAGGUCAUGAUUUUGAAACGGAGGCAAAAUGAUAAAACUUAUAUGUAGACACAAAGUGUAGCAAUUUAAUUAGAAAAAAAAAGUUAAGUGGUAUCUUGGGGGAAAAGGUUAAGAAGAGAGAAAGAGGAGGUAAAAUUGCCUUUGCAAAGCUAUAAAAAAACAGACUUGCUGCAAUUUGCAAUAUGCAAAAGCAUCAUUAGGCAGAAACAGGUUUUUAUACAACUAAUCAAUCUCACAUUGUGCACGUAAUGGGGAUCGAUGUGCCCAUGCAGCAUAGACAUGUCUGUAUGGUUUUGUGAACUGCAAAAAAAAAAAAAGGUUGGAAUAAUGAUUUCCCUUCUGUUAAGGAAUGGCUAAUUAGCCAAAUGGUAAUAUCCAGCAGAUGCAUGUAGGAAAUUCCAUCAUAUAGAUCCCCAGGGGCACUGGGCACUACACAGUAUAAAAUAAUCAAUAGUCAAUUGUAAAAAUUUUUAGAUGUACCCAGUUCUGACAAAAUUAUUUGUACACAAAAUGGGAAGAAAUAUAAAUGCACAAAGGGUUGGUUUUUGUUUUGCUCAUGUUUUGGCAUGGAGUGAUUUCACUAGAAUGACUCUGCGCUCACAGCAGUGACAGGGUGGAAUUGGCCUUCAGUUAUACAUUAAGUGGGGCAAAGUUGAGUGAUAGCCUGUAAACUAAAACGAAAGCAGUACCUGACUAAUGUCUAAAAAGUAUUAAUCUAAAAAUAAUAUUGUCUAAUGUGUUUUAUAUUUUAAAAGUGUUUUUUUCUGAUUUACAGGGGAAGAAAUGCCUAACAUGGGUUAAUAUGGUUAUUGACUAGUUGUAUCUUGAUUUCUU